UGCCGGCGGCGAGCCCCGCGAGGCCGCAGGCGAGGCCGGAGGAGAGGUGCGCGUAGCCGUCGAAGAGGAAGUAGGGCUUGGCCUUGGGGUUGAUCCCGGUGGAGAUGAUGACGGCGAUGAUGAGGCCGUAGAUCCCGAGCACCCCCGCCAUGACCACGGGCACGAUGGACUUCAUCACCAGCUCCGGCCGCAUCACCCCCAUCGACGCCACCCCCACCCCGCUCUUCGCCGUCCCGUACGCCGCCCCCAUGCCUGCAUCACACCACGCGCGUCAGAUCCGUCGGUCAGAUCGCCGAUCUGGAGGAGGGGGAGGGGGCUUACAGGAGAAGACGAGGGCCGCGGCGGCGCCAAGGAAGCCGAAGAAGGGGGCGGUCUCGUCGCCGCUGAAGGUGGAGGCCAUGGCUGCCGGCGGGGGAGGGGAUCUCGCCGGAGAUUGGACGGCGACGGCGACGUCGGGUGGAGGAGAGAGAGGGGAUGGGAGAGGGAGGAG
RNAcentral lists this long non-coding RNA (490 nucleotides) under Triticum aestivum (bread wheat). RNAcentral describes it as "long non-coding RNA (TAES_LNC012782)". The record is from RNAcentral. Lineage: Eukaryota; Viridiplantae; Streptophyta; Magnoliopsida; Poales; Poaceae.